Molecule: ribosomal RNA, 2972 nt
Filed under: Spirochaeta aurantia
Lineage: Bacteria; Pseudomonadati; Spirochaetota; Spirochaetia; Spirochaetales; Spirochaetaceae
Description: bacterial LSU rRNA
Rfam family: Bacterial large subunit ribosomal RNA
Source: RNAcentral
AUAUGGUCAAGCGAGAAAGGGUCCAUGGUGGAUGCCUUGGCGCUAUCCGACGAAGAAGGCCGCGGUAAGCUGCGAAAAGCCAGGGUUAGGAGCAAACAUCCGUUUGACCCCUGGGUAGCCGAAUGGGGUAACCCGGCAAGUUGUUAAUACUUGUCAUCGUGCACUGAAUUCAUAGGUGUACGAAGUGAGACGCAGGGAACUGAACCAUCUAAGUACCUGCAGGAAAAGAAAUCGCAGAGAUUCCCUUAGUAGCGGCGAGCGAAGCGGGAAGAGCCUAAACCUGAACUGUGUGAUAGACGUCAGUCGUUGCAGUUUGGGGGUUGUAGGAUCUUACGUCUGGGUUCUGACGGACCUGGGUUGAGUUAGAAAACUGAUGCAUAGUGGAACGUCACUGGAAAGGACGGCCAAAGAGGGUGAUAGUCCCGUACGCGAAAUGCAAGCAGUCUCAUAGUAAGACACCUGAGUAAGACGGAUCACGAGGAAUUUUGUCUGAAGCUAGGGAGCCCACUCUCUAAGGCUAAAUACGAGAUAGCGACCGAUAGUGAACGAGUACCGCGAGGGAAAGGUGAAAAGCACCCCGGGAGGGGAGUGAAAUAGAGCCUGAAACCGUGGACCUACAAGCGGUCAAAGCCCGCAAGGGUGAUGGCGUGCCUUUUGUAGAAUGAGCCUGCGAGUUACCGUUUCAAGCGAGGUUAAGGCAUAGUAGUGCCGAAGCCGGAGUGAAAGCGAGCCUGAAUAGGGCGAUGAGUUUGAGGCGGUAGACCCGAAGCCGGGUGAUCUACCUAUGGCCAGGUUGAAGCUUCGGUAAAACGAAGUGGAGGACCGAACGCUAAUCUGUUUAAAAAGGUAGCGAUGAGCUGUGGGUAGGGGUGAAAGGCUAAUCAAACCCGGAGAUAGCUGGUACUCCUCGAAAUGGAUUUAGGUUCAGCCUCGGAUGGUUUUUUGCGGAGGUAGAGCACUAAUUAGGCUAGGGCCCUUCACCGGGUACCAAACUUAGUGAAACUCCGAAUGCCGUAAAACAAAGUCCGGGAGUGAGACUUGGGGCGAUAAGGUUCUAGGUCGAGAGGGGAACAGCCCAGACCGUCAGCUAAGGUCCCUAAAUCAUGCUCAGUGGAAAAGGAAGUGUCGUGGCCGAGACAGCCAGGAGGUUGGCUUAGAAGCAGCCACUCCUUUAAAGAGUGCGUAAUAGCUCACUGGUCGAGUCACGAUGCGCCGACAAUGUAACGGGGCUAAGCAUGAUACCGAAGCUACGGAUCAGUAGUUUACUACUGGUGGUAGAGGAGCAUUCUGUAUGGGGUUGAAGCGGGACCUGUGAGGGCCCGUGGACUUAUCAGAAGUGAGAAUGCAGGCAUGAGUAACGAAAAGACAGGUGAGAUUCCUGUCCGCCGAAAGUCUAAGGGUUCCUGGGUGAAGGCAAUCUUCCCAGGGUGAGUCGGCUCCUAAGGCGAGGCCGAAAGGCGUAGUCGAUGGGAAACCGGUUAAUAUUCCAGUACCACUUAAUGGACUGAUGGGACGACGCAUGAGGUGAAUCACUGCCCCUUAUUGGAUUGGGGUCUAAGUAACGAGUUGUUGAGAGCUGUAGGCAAAUCCGCAGUUUGAGAUGAGUUAUGAAAGAUAGGCGACUUACGGGAAGCCGAAGAGUGAGGAAUCAAGGUGCCAAGAAAGAGUCUCUAGGGUUAAUCUGUUGAGUGACCGUACCGCAAACCGACACAGGUAGACGAGAUGAGUAUUCUAAGGCGCACGGGAGAACUCGGGUAAAGGAACUAGGCAAACUACAUACGUAACUUCGGGAUAAGUAUGGCCCUUGAAAGAGGGUGGCACGGAAAUGGCCCAAGCGACUGUUUACCAAAAACACAGGUCUCUGCUAAUCUGCAAAGAGAAGUAUAGGGGCUGACACCUGCCCGGUGCUGGAAGGUUAAGGGGAGUGGUUAGACGCAAGUCGAAGCUGCGAACUGAAGCCCCAGUAAACGGCGGCCGUAACUAUAACGGUCCUAAGGUAGCGAAAUUCCUUGUCGGGUAAGUUCCGACCCGCACGAAUGGUGUAACGACUUGGGCGCUGUCUCUACCCGAGGCCCGGUGAAAUUGACAGACCUGUGAAGAUGCAGGUUACCUGUGGUUAGACGGAAAGACCCCGUGAACCUUUACUGUACCCUGGUAUUGAAACUUGGCUUAGCAUGUGUAGGAUAGGUGGGAGGCUAUGAAGUUUGCACGCUAGUGUGGAUGGAGCCGUCGUUGAAAUACCACCCUUGUUAAGUUAGGUUUCUAACGGGUCCCAUGAUCUGGGAUCUGGACAAUGCCAGGCGGGCAGUUUGACUGGGGCGGUCGCCUCCUAAAGAGUAACGGAGGCGCGCGAAGGUUACCUUGCGGUGGUUGGAAAUCAUCGUGUAAGUGUAAAGGCAUAAGGUAGCUUAACUGCGAGUCCUACAAGACGAGCAGGUACGAAAGUAGGUCUUAGUGAUCUGGCGGUAGCGUGUGGAAGCGCCGUCACUUAACGGAUAAAAGGUACUCCGGGGAUAACAGGCUUAUCUUCCCCAAGAGUUCACAUCGACGGGAAGGUUUGGCACCUCGAUGUCGGCUCAUCGCAUCCUGGGGCUGGAGCAGGUCCCAAGGGUUUGGCUGUUCGCCAAUUAAAGCGGUACGUGAGCUGGGUUCAGAACGUCGUGAGACAGUUCGGUCCCUAUCUGCCACAGGCGUUGGAUGUUUGAGAGGACUUGCCCUUAGUACGAGAGGACCGGGGCGAACACACCUCUAGUGUACCAGUUAUCCUGCCAAGGGUAAGCGCUGGGUAGCUACGUGUGGACGGGAUAACCGCUGAAAGCAUCUAAGUGGGAAGCCCACCUCAAGAUGAGACAUCCCUGAGGGUUUAACCCUCUUGAAGGCACCAGGAAGACUACCUGGUUGAUAGGCUGGAAGUGUAAGCUCUGUAAGGGGUUCAGCUGACCAGUACUAAUCCGCCGUAAGGCUUGACCAUA